This 301-nucleotide ribosomal RNA is filed under the name uncultured bacterium. RNAcentral's name for it is "partial 16S ribosomal RNA". It matches the Rfam family "Bacterial small subunit ribosomal RNA", at positions 509 to 809 of the family's 1533-position model. The record is from RNAcentral.
CAGUCGCCGCGGUAAUACGGAGGGUGCAAGCGUUAAUCGGAAUUACUGGGCGUAAAGCGCACGCAGGCGGUCUGACAAGUCAGAUGUGAAAUCCCCGGGCUUAACCUGGGAACUGCAUUUGAAACUGUCAGGCUGGAGUCUUGUAGAGGGGGGUAGAAUUCCAGGUGUAGCGGUGAAAUGCGUAGAGAUCUGGAGGAAUACCGGUGGCGAAGGCGGCCCCCUGGACAAAGACUGACGCUCAGGUGCGAAAGCGUGGGGAGCAAACAGGAUUAGAUACCCGCGUAGUCCCUGUCUCUUAUAU